RNAcentral lists this ribosomal RNA (484 nucleotides) under uncultured bacterium. Its description in RNAcentral is "partial 16S ribosomal RNA". It matches the Rfam family "Bacterial small subunit ribosomal RNA", at positions 30 to 507 of the family's 1533-position model. The record is from RNAcentral.
AUUGAACGCUGGCGGCAGGCCUAACACAUGCAAGUCGAGCGGAUGAAGGGAGCUUGCUCCUGGAUUCAGCGGCGGACGGGUGAGUAAUGCCUAGGAAUCUGCCUGGUAGUGGGGGAUAACGUCCGGAAACGGGCGCUAAUACCGCAUACGUCCUGCGGGAGAAAGUGGGGGAUCUUCGGACCUCACGCUAUCAGAUGAGCCUAGGUCGGAUUAGCUAGUUGGUGGGGUAAAGGCCUACCAAGGCGACGAUCCGUAACUGGUCUGAGAGGAUGAUCAGUCACACUGGAAUUGAGACACGGUCCAGACUCCUACGGGAGGCAGCAGUGGGGAAUAUUGGACAAUGGGCGAAAGCCUGAUACAGCCAUGCCGCGUGUGUGAAGAAGGUCUUCGGAUUGUAAAGCACUUUAAGUUGGGAGGAAGGGCAGUAAGUUAAUACCUUGCUGUUGUGACGUUACCAACAGAAUAAGCACCGGCUAACUUCGUG